UACGUAGGAGGCGAGCGUUGUCCGGAAUUACUGGGCGUAAAGGGCUCGUAGGUGGCCAACUAAGUCAGACGUGAAAUCCCUCGGCUUAACCGGGGAACUGCGUCUGAUACUGGAUGGCUUGAGAUUGGGAGAGGGAUGCGGAAUUCCAGGUGUAGCGGUGAAAUGCGUAGAUAUCUGGAGGAACACCGGUGGCGAAGGCGGCAUCCUGGACCAACACUGACACUGAGGAGCGAAAGCCAGGGGAGCAAACGGG
Molecule: ribosomal RNA, 253 nt
Filed under: uncultured bacterium
Lineage: Bacteria
Description: partial 16S ribosomal RNA
Rfam family: Bacterial small subunit ribosomal RNA
Source: RNAcentral